UACGGAGGGUGCGAGCGUUGUCCGGAAUCACUGGGCGUAAAGGGCGCGUAGGCGGCGGGCUAAGCGUGUGGUGAAAGUCCGGGGCUCAACCCCGGAUCGGCCGUGCGAACUGGCUCGCUCGAGCACUGUAGAGGCAGGUGGAAUUCCGGGUGUAGCGGUGGAAUGCGUAGAGAUCCGGAAGAACACCAGGGGCGAAGGCGGCCUGCUGGGCAGUGGCUGACGCUGAGGCGCGACAGCGUGGGGAGCAAACAGG
This 253-nucleotide ribosomal RNA is filed under the name uncultured bacterium. RNAcentral describes it as "partial 16S ribosomal RNA". It matches the Rfam family "Bacterial small subunit ribosomal RNA", at positions 524 to 776 of the family's 1533-position model. The record is from RNAcentral.